Agrilus planipennis (emerald ash borer) is the source of this 966-nucleotide long non-coding RNA. RefSeq lists it as uncharacterized. NCBI's taxonomy places the organism in Eukaryota, Metazoa, Arthropoda, Insecta, Coleoptera, Buprestidae. The record is from RefSeq and is a predicted model, not a curated record. The transcript is spliced from 4 exons.
AUUUGUGCGCUUGCGUCAUAUUACAGCUACUUGAUACUUUAAAGCAACGUUGGUUGGCGCCUCUCAUCCAUGGCGAGAAGCAUAAACAGUGAGACAAGUCAUAGAAUAAGUUGAUCUAUGGAGACAAGUGAGAAGAAUUUAUCGACUAUGGAUUUAUAUCUAUGGGGAAGAAUUAAAAUGGUCGUUGAUGGAGCUAGCAGCUUACAGUUUUAUAGAAAAAUGGAAUUAUGAUUUGCAAUAAUUUAGUGUUAUCUCUUAUGGUGUAUUUCAAUGUUUACAUCAUAUCAGCUUCGACGCCAGUGUCGUUAAAUUUAUUAGACUGGGCAACGGUUCUGUGGUGAAAAUACUGCUGUUGUUCCAACAAGGGAUGAAUCGGAUUGAAAGGAGGGUCAGUUCCUAUUUACGAAUUAACCUGAGUUAGUAUAAUUGAACGCACCUACAAAACCUAUUAUCUAUGUAGUGUAAGUAUAAAAGGAAUUUUUAUCUGUGGAUCUUCCGGCGAUCUCAUUACUCAUUUUCUCAUUUGUAAUUUUGUUUUCGGUCUUCACGUAGAUGGAUAAGUUGUCGUUUUUGGUGUCCAUUAACGGAGACAACACCUGAAGGUUUGCUGUGAGAUGACAUUCUUGGUUUAGAUGGGGAAACUUACAGAUGCAAUGUUUAUGGCAGUCAGACUUAUUUUUAUUUCCAAAAAUGCUUCUAAUGAGCUGGCCAAAAAUUCAUAUGGUGGUAACAAUAGUAAUUAUCAUUAAUAAUAAAAUAACAAAGCCUGAUGAACAUAUAAUUAAUAUUAAGUUGUUUCAACAGAUUAAUUUCCAUUAAAACAUAAUAAGUGAACAUGAAAAGGGUAAAUUAAAAGGAGCCGAAACGUGGAGAGGGAGAAACUCACAUUUCUUUCUCUUGGACUCAGAAAGGGUAAGAAAUCUUUUAACUAUUUUAUGAUGUGCUUAUAAAAUGGUGUGUGAUUUU